UACGUAGGGUGCGAGCGUUAAUCGGAAUUACUGGGCGUAAAGCGUGCGUAGGCGGUUCGUUAAGUCAGCUGUGAAAGCCCCGGGCUCAACCUGGGAAUUGCGGUUGAAACUGGCGAACUAGAAUCUGGCAGAGGGGGGUGGAAUUCCACGUGUAGCAGUGAAAUGCGUAGAGAUGUGGAGGAACACCGAUGGCGAAGGCGGCGACCUGGUCCUUGACUGACGCUGAGGCGCGGAAGCGUGGGGAGCAAACAGG
RNAcentral lists this ribosomal RNA (253 nucleotides) under uncultured bacterium. Its description in RNAcentral is "partial 16S ribosomal RNA". It matches the Rfam family "Bacterial small subunit ribosomal RNA", at positions 524 to 776 of the family's 1533-position model. The record is from RNAcentral.